AUAGCUAUUUGAGACAUGGUUCCGCUAUUUGAACUUGUGUGUAUUUUAGCCGCUAUAGCCCGCUAUAGCCUCAUUUAGCCUGCUAUUAGCUAUUUUUUGAGUCCAGCCGCUAAACCCUUUAACCCGCUAUUUAAAACCAUGUCCGUCCCCCGCCGGGCAACUGGAUCGCCGCCGACCUCCUCCGCGACGCCCUAGCCCUCACGUUCCUUGCCGCCUCCACCACGAGCCAUCGUCUUGCUUGGCAAUGGCAAGUGGGUGCGGGAGAGUGGGUUUACCUGGCGCUUGUCGAGGAAGAGUGCCAUGACCGAGCUUUCUUCCAAGGCUCUUGCUUAUUUCAAAAGAGGCGUUACAAAUCGAGCCAACAGAAAUAUCUUCUUGGGAUGGUUUCAGAAAUCACAUCACAAGCAAAUAUUGGAGGAACUACUACUAAAAUUUUGAAGUCAGGUUCUUACUGCAGAUUGUUGGAAAUCAUUACAAAUAAACUAUCCAAGGUAGUAGGAGCUUGCACCAAACAACAAUCUCAGUAGUAGGCCACUCAAUGGGUAUCUCCAAACCUUUGUAUAUACAGAAGACAGCAAAAUAGAAGGACAACAGCUAGACCUCCUAGAGUUUCAGUGCUUUCUCGAUGCCUCAACGCCUCCAGGUACGCCUUGUGCUCUUGGUUCAGUUUUGGUGGAAUUAAAUAAAACCGAACUGCCCAUAAUACUGUUUAAAACUGGUACAGUGCUAUCUUAAAGCCACUCUACAUUCUUUCUGGUGGCAGAUUAUAGUCUUAGAUGCUCUGCAAUCAAGUCUUUUAAUUGCCUCCAUUGGUUAUUAGUGUAGUGUAUCAUGAUGCGUAUGGAUGCAUCCAUAUCUUAGGAAGUAUGCAUGCAUCUAUAUCUUAGGAACCUUUCAACUGCUAAUGUUGUUCGUUUGGUGCUCGGAUUUUAUGGGCUCAUGAUUGUGGUGAGUUUUUUUUUUUUUUUGAUAUGGGAAGGAUGUUUGGCUCCCAAUCGAGUUAAUUUGUUGUAUCUGAAUAACUUGGCAAUGUACUAUCCCAAAUCUAAACUCUGGAUACAAUAGGAUACAGUGCAUGUUCAGAGAAAUAAAGAUUUUAGAGUCUGUUAGCUCUGUUCUCAUUU
Panicum virgatum (switchgrass) is the source of this 1124-nucleotide long non-coding RNA. RefSeq lists it as uncharacterized. The transcript is spliced from 5 exons. Lineage: Eukaryota; Viridiplantae; Streptophyta; Magnoliopsida; Poales; Poaceae. The record is from RefSeq and is a predicted model, not a curated record.